RNAcentral lists this unclassified non-coding RNA (434 nucleotides) under soil metagenome. RNAcentral describes it as "partial contains 5.8S ribosomal RNA, internal transcribed spacer 2, and large subunit ribosomal RNA". The stretch from base 1 to 120 matches the Rfam family "5.8S ribosomal RNA", at positions 35 to 154 of the family's 154-position model. The record is from RNAcentral.
GAUGAAGAACGUAGCGAAAUGCGAUACGUAAUGUGAAUUGCAGAAUUCAGUGAAUCAUCGAAUCUUUGAACGCAUAUUGCGCUCUUUGGUAUUCCGAAGAGCAUGCUUGUUUGAGUAUCAGUAAACACCUCAAAGCUUUUGGAUUUUUUAAUCGAAAAGCUUUGGACUUGAGCAAUCCCAACACCAAUCUUUUUGAGAUCGGUGGCGGGUUGCUUGAAAUGCAGGUGCAGCUGGACAUUCUCCUGAGCUAAAAGCAUAUUCAUUUAGUCCCGUCAAACGGAUUAUUACUUUUGAUGCAGCUAACAUAAAGGGAGUUUGACCGUAUUGGCUGACUGAUGCAGGAUUUCACAAGGGUCGGCAACGAUUCUUGUUAAACUCGAUCUCAAAUCAAGUAAGACUACCCGCUGAACUUAAGCAUAUCAAUAAGCGGAGGA